Molecule: long non-coding RNA, 2878 nt
Filed under: Triticum aestivum (bread wheat)
Lineage: Eukaryota; Viridiplantae; Streptophyta; Magnoliopsida; Poales; Poaceae
Description: long non-coding RNA (TAES_LNC000032)
Source: RNAcentral
CCACAAUGUAAAUUCCAAACGUUCACACGCUAGUCCAGCAUUCAUGUGGAACACUCACAUUAAACUCGGCUUCAUAAAAAACUUGAAAAGGAUAAGUUAAGCAAUUUUAUACAUCUCAAUGAUUCAUAGAACAUAGCAAACAUAUACUAGUUAAUAGCAAAAGACAAAGUUGUGAGAAGGUUUACAAAUCAGGAAAAAACAACCAAGGCUUCUCUGAGCAAAGGGCCUCCCGGCAGGCUUAAAUUUCCUAGAGUUCACUCUGGUUUUUCCUUGUUGCCACCAUCCAGGGUUAGGUUUUCUCAUUCCAGAAUAACCAAUUAUAAUUGUGUUCUCAGCUGGAAUGCUGAACUGAACCAUGCAGUGUACUGACUAGCUGAAAGUCUUGUGCAUUCCACUAAAUUUAAGCGCCGCUAUUUGCAGAAAUAAGCAGACCACAAUGCCUCUUGUCCGCGCACCUGUCCCAAAAACCUCCAUGCAGCCGUGCCAGCUUGUCCUCGGUCCAUGGAUGAACUGGAAGAAAGUGCAUUCCGGACUAGGAUGCAAAUGUUUUCGCUCGCCCCUGCACUGCAAUUAGGAAGUAAAACGUAUGAAUCAGCUUCUUUUAGAUUGCGUUGGUCAUUCUACCUAGUAACUACCAAUGUAGGAAUACCUGGAAGACGGGUGGUUAGAUGACGGCAACGAGGGAUAGCCAUCUCAUUUUGCGCAGUUCUACUAAAACUGAGGUGUGUGCUUUUGAUUGCGCGGAUAGAAACGAUACGGAGACAGACAUCCCGAAAUGAUAUGGAGACAGACAUCCCUGUUUGCGCAAAUACGAAAUACGGUUAUCUAAAUAGUGACAGAUAUUUGCAGUGGCGUAUGAUUAACAGCAGCAUCUAUUGUGUUAUAAUUGCCACUAGAUUGACAGUAUGAAAGUGUCCUUAAGUAAGUAGCAUCACAUCACAUCAACACUGCCACUAGAUUAACAUGCAGAACAAUAGCAUUAGUAUUACUGUCAUGAGAGUAGCACAUGGUCAGUAAAUGUGCAAUCAAAUUUGUGCAGUUCCACUAGGAUGCAGCAAUGUUAGCGGUGUGAGAUUUAAGUCUAACUGCAAAAACACAAUUCAUGGGAAAUAAAUCAAGACGGAAGCACUUCAUAAAAUAGUGGUGGCAUUGCUUCAAUUUAUCGAUGGCACUAGACCAUUACUUAUAGUGACAUUAGGUGGCAUUGCUUAAUGCUUCAUGUGAUUUUACAUUAACGGUAGCGAUAUGGGCAUAGGGACAGCAGAGGCAUAAAGUGGUGAGGCAGAUGUGGUUGCCGAGAGCGGCAAGCACUCAGGCAGCAUGUCUGCAUUUGUCCCAUUUUUUAUCUCCUCGGCGACAUUUUCCUAUGUGAGCACAGGAAAUCUAGACCUGCUCAUUCUCAUUUGCGUUGUACCCCAACACCCGUCACUUUCUUUCCUUUUUCAACCAAGAGAUAGGUCCACGUCCCCCCACCCUUCGCCAUCCACCAUGCUUUCUUCGUCUUCUCAACCAAGAGACCAGUUGGGUAGCCAGUAUCUACUACUUUCCCCCGUUUCCUCUUAGAACCAAGUCCUAUAUUCAUGCUACAACUUUCCCACUUUCUUCCCUGUUUGAACCAACUCUUAGAGUCGACUGUAUGAACUAGCUUUACCUCUAAUAAUAGUAAAAGUCUAGGUGGAUUUGGGACAGUGGACGGAAGUAGAAAAGAUCCACACGAAGCCCAGUGGGGAGCUGGGGCAGUAGAGCAAGGCAGGUUUCGAAGGAAUAUAUACCUAAGGGUCGUCGGCAUGUGGCAAAGACGGCGUCGGGAGGCCGCAUCUUGGCCACAAUACCGCAGGGAGGAAGAAGGGGUCGGAGGCCCUCCGGAGCCGGCGCUCUCUCGGAGAGAACGACACAGCCGCCGAUCAGUACGCGCGGGUAGCCGUUGGUCUCCUCCCUCGCCACCGACGACAGCAUGAACAAUGCACCUACACCCCUGCCCCGGUCGAGGUUGUCCGGCCGGAUUUGUGACCAGCCGUGAGCUGAGAGAGAGUGUGGCCACCUAUGUCUUGCUUAGAUCUUAAGAGCAUGAGAGAGUGAACGAGAGGAACCCUAGUAAAGCAAGCGCUAAGGCUCCUGCUUAUAUAUAUAGUGGAGUGAUUUUGUUGUACCAGCUCCAAAAAAAUGCGCUCCUACGUGUAACUGUAACAUCCCAAAUUUCCAAUUUGGAAUGUUAUACAUUAGGUCAUCAUGCAUAGCAAAUUUUAUUGCUUUCUCGUUAGCAAUCCUCGAAAUCCUAAGCAACUCAAGGACCUUCGGAGUGAGUUGGGGAUUUUCCCGGUUUUUCAUAUUUGUGAACUGCUGCUACUUUUGUGUGCCCGUGAAUCAUCGUAAUUGUUGCCGAAAAAUAUGCGUCCUCACUAGUUUUAUCAUACGAGCAGUGUGUUUUUUGAUGAAAUAGAGUACUCGUUCGAGAACUGUGCGCCGUUGUAUACAUAAGUACUUGUAAACACUGUUGGUGCUACCCCACUUGUAAGCAGUUGUGCAAAACACGGCACAUUGGCUCAGCUCGCUUCAACACUAGGCUGUCGACCAGCUAACAAUCAACAAUCUGCUGUCUGACAUAGAAGCAACUAUGUAUCUUGUUACAGUGGUUCAUGCAGUUAACUGAGGCCACAAUGUAAAUUCCAAACGUUCACACGCUAGUCCAGCAUUCAUGUGGAACACUCACAUUAAACUCGGCUUCAUAAAAAACUUGAAAAGGAUAAGUUAAGCAAUUUUAUACAUCUCAAUGAUUCAUAGAACAUAGCAAACAUAUACUAGUUAAUAGCAAAAGACAAAGUUGUGAGAAGGUUUACAAAUCAGGAAAAAACAACCAAGGCUUCUCUGAGCAAAGGGC